Tachysurus fulvidraco (yellow catfish) is the source of this 1106-nucleotide long non-coding RNA. RefSeq lists it as uncharacterized. The record is from RefSeq and is a predicted model, not a curated record. NCBI's taxonomy places the organism in Eukaryota, Metazoa, Chordata, Actinopteri, Siluriformes, Bagridae. The transcript is spliced from 4 exons.
AAAAUUUCCGACAUAUUUAAUGGAACCCCAGAUGGGACUUUGUAAGGGUUAGCAUGAUCUGCGUCCGGAACCAGGACCACUCUCUCAGGAGGGUUACAGAGGCCGGCCAUAAUAUUAAGGGCAAGAAGGACCAAGUGUUUUGAUUUCCGGUGCCGCAGCAUAGCAGAUUCGUAUGUUGAGCUUAGAACAAAAAAGGAUUCUUGGCAAGAAUCACAUUCAGAGUCACCAGAGAUUAGCACUAAUACACAGUGAACCGGAUUAAGAGCCAAACCCACAACACAAGAGCUCCUUAGUGACCGAGACACACCCACAGCGUUUGGCUAAUUGCACAGUGCUUUGUGAGAUAGAGAGAAACACAGAGAGAAAUUGUGACAGGAAGAGAGUGAAAGAGGAAGACCUGCUGUCCUCCUGUCAUAUAUCCCCUCAGCGUAUGGCGAGCUUCCCAGCACAGGGUGCACUCUUCGUACUUUUAUCGUGACGUGUUCUGGCUCUGGCUUCGCUCCUGUCUUCACCCCGUCUUAUUUCCUGAUUGUUGUUCACCUGUUCUCUCUCUAGAUCUUGAAAAGUCUGGCUAUUUAUGUUCUCCUUUUCCUCGUUCUUGUCAAAUUAUACUGCUGCACUUGUCAACCUUGUUUUCUUUGCCCAUUUGUAUCUGAUUAUGGAUAAUGAAGUUGCCUUCAUGUUUGUGAUGAUGAUGAUGAUGAUGAUGUUUACUGGUUUUACCCUCAAUAAAUGAAUGCAGGCUCUAAGCAUUUAAUCCACUCACUUUACAACCACCGUGGGGAAUUAUUAUUAUUCUCGUUCAGAAAGCAUGGAGUUUAAGUUAAAGUCACUAUUAGCCUUUUAGUGAUGAUACAUUGUCUAUUCACGUCUUUUUGUGUCUUUGUUCCAUGUGAAGUUUUAUCAUGUAUUUAUGUCUAAGCCAGGAUUCCACAGUGCUUUAUUUUCUAGUUCUGUAGUUCUUGGUUUUAACCCUCUGUUGUUAUCCUGAGCACAAUAAACACUGACUGAUUAAACACUAUACAUUAUGUGUAAUAGAACACUGAACUCUAUAGCUAAUAGAACACUUAACAUUGUGACUGAUAAAACACUGUGCACUGUGAAUA